GCCAAAUCCAUUUUAUCGAAUAACGGGAAAUACUCCACCACCAUAUCCACGUGAUUGAAUAAAUAGCAAUGAGUUGACGGAUUAUACACAACAUCAACCUGUCACUACACCUUCAUCUGUGUUCGAGAAAGACAUAACAAGAAAAGGGCCAAAUGAAACACAAUGUGGAGCAAAGGCUGAAGAAAUCGACAACCAUACAGGGAAAACUGAAGACAUCAAAAUAGCCAUGGUAGUUGCUGAAAGAAUGGAUUGGAUGCUUGGACAUGUUGAAAAGCAACUUGAGAGAAUCUCGGACAAGAAUAACAAAUUAAUUGUUGAUGAAGUACCAACAUCAGUUAUUGGAUGUUUGGAACACAGAGAGGGAAAAGUCGUAAGAGAGGUUUAUUAACUUUGUUUUUAAUUGAAAUACUUUAAAAUCGGC
Non-coding RNA from Styela clava, 421 nucleotides. Lineage: Eukaryota; Metazoa; Chordata; Ascidiacea; Stolidobranchia; Styelidae. The record is from RefSeq and is a predicted model, not a curated record.